AUGACAUACAAGCCGGACGCGCCGGCUCCGGGCGCGUCAGAAGGGCGGCCGGACGGCAACAAAGGUGCCAAGAAGGGGAAACACGCAGACGCGGCCACUGCUCGCGUGCAGGAAUCCAUCCAGCACUGCCUUGCCGACGCACAGGCCCGGGCCGUCCUUCGUGAAGAGAAGACCGAGGCGCGGUGGUCGGCGUUGAUGUCAACAAGCGCCGUCAAGCUCGACCUACUCCGGGCCAACGUCGCCGCGAAGAAGAGGAACACCGACCUGGCUUUCCUGCUGGGCGGGGCGGACAUGCUCCAGAGCACCGAUGAGGCGGUCAAGGCGUGGUACAGGGCGCAUGUCGGCCUCAUCCUGGACCAGCUUCCCUCGACGACGCCGCCCACGCUCACGCCCACGACGACGCCGCCCCCGCCCACGCGCAUGCCGACGCCGCCAACAAGCCCGACCGAUGAUGCCACCGAGACUGCCCGCAGCGCAGAAGCCAUGCCGCCAAGCACAGAGACCCCGUCAAGCCUGCACACGCCGACUCCCCCGACGCCGGAGGCCGACCUCGCCGUCUAA
RNAcentral lists this ribosomal RNA (561 nucleotides) under Triticum aestivum (bread wheat). Its description in RNAcentral is "partial small subunit ribosomal RNA". The record is from RNAcentral. Lineage: Eukaryota; Viridiplantae; Streptophyta; Magnoliopsida; Poales; Poaceae.